This 64-nucleotide transfer RNA is filed under the name Scipinia horrida. Its description in RNAcentral is "tRNA-Cys". Lineage: Eukaryota; Metazoa; Arthropoda; Insecta; Hemiptera; Reduviidae. The record is from RNAcentral.
GGCUUUAUAGUCAAUAUAUGAUAUCAGACUGCAAUUCUGAAGUAGUAUUUAUAUACUAAAGCUU